RNAcentral lists this ribosomal RNA (310 nucleotides) under Salmonella enterica subsp. enterica serovar Poona. RNAcentral describes it as "partial 23S ribosomal RNA". It matches the Rfam family "Bacterial large subunit ribosomal RNA", at positions 1 to 348 of the family's 2925-position model. The record is from RNAcentral. Lineage: Bacteria; Pseudomonadati; Pseudomonadota; Gammaproteobacteria; Enterobacterales; Enterobacteriaceae.
GUUAAGCGACUAAGCGUACACGGUGGAUGCCCUGGCAGUCAGAGGCGAUGAAGGACGUGCUAAUCUGCGAUAAGCGCCGGUAAGGUGAUAUGAACCGUUAUAACCGGCGAUUUCCGAAUGGGGAAACCCAGUGUGACUCGUCACACUAUCAUUAACUGAAUCCAUAGGUUAAUGAGGCGAACCGGGGGAACUGAAACAUCUAAGUACCCCGAGGAAAAGAAAUCAACCGAGAUUCCCCCAGUAGCGGCGAGCGAACGGGGAGGAGCCCAGAGCCUGAAUCAGCAUGUGUGUUAGUGGAAGCGUCUGGAAA